AAAGCAUAUAAAUUAUUAUUUUAAAAAUCAAUAAAAACUCUCAAUCACUUUUUAUGUUCGAUCUCUUUCUAUUUCUUUCUGAGAUAAAGAUUUAUUUUUUUUAUUUUUUUUUUUAAUUGGACAACUGAAGAAAAUCUUUGGAGUUAGCCUCUACAAUGAUCGUGCUCAUUAGAAGAAGAUCGGACUGAGAUAGAUCAUUGUAUUUUGAGAAUAUGAUCAUCGAAGAUCUGUACGUAGGAAACGAAUCACAUUCUUAGGAU
RNAcentral lists this long non-coding RNA (260 nucleotides) under Elaeis guineensis (African oil palm). Its description in RNAcentral is "long non-coding RNA (EGUI_LNC038725)". The record is from RNAcentral. Lineage: Eukaryota; Viridiplantae; Streptophyta; Magnoliopsida; Arecales; Arecaceae.